Aegilops tauschii subsp. strangulata is the source of this 314-nucleotide long non-coding RNA. RefSeq lists it as uncharacterized. NCBI's taxonomy places the organism in Eukaryota, Viridiplantae, Streptophyta, Magnoliopsida, Poales, Poaceae. The record is from RefSeq and is a predicted model, not a curated record.
AGGUAUUAUUCGACGAGUAAGUGAUACGAUAGGGUUACGGUCCGCACUCAACUUGCAGAUGGCGUUGAUGGGACUCCACACCCGUUUGCCUGUUUUCGCUGAGAUUCUUAAGAUUUGCUUUAUUAGAUGAGGAAGCUUGCGUUGACGGAGUCUACUCUUCUCUUUAUGCUUCCUUCUUGUUUUGAUUUUGUACGAUGAACAAUGUCAAACUUGCUACCUAUAUAUAUGUGUGUGUGUAUAUAUGUGAAAUUCUGUCAAAUUGAAUGGUUUCAAGAAAAACAGAAAAAACAGGGGCUAUAUAGACUCUUUGCCGU